This 217-nucleotide long non-coding RNA is filed under the name Elaeis guineensis (African oil palm). RNAcentral's name for it is "long non-coding RNA (EGUI_LNC027328)". The record is from RNAcentral. Lineage: Eukaryota; Viridiplantae; Streptophyta; Magnoliopsida; Arecales; Arecaceae.
UGUGGGCACCGAGGUUAAAACCAAUAAUAUGGCAUUGUGAAAGCAAUUCACUUAUGAAGACCUAUUAGAGAUCUACUACACUUGUGGGUUAAUAGGAUGUGCAGUAGAGUUUGGGGGCUGUUCUACCAUUCAACCAAUUAAUACUAAGUCGAUCUAAGGCCCUUGGAUAUGUGUGGCUAGGGUCCUUAUAUCACCACAAACACCCGUAGGUUAGAGG